ACAAACUUGGUCAUUUAGAGGAAGUAAAAGUCGUAACAAGGUUUCCGUAGGUGAACCUGCGGAAGGAUCAUUACAGUGCCGCCGGGACUUGCCCCCUAAACCAGGGCGAGCUCCCGCAACUGGCCACCCGUGUCUACCGAACCUCGUUGCUUUGGCGUGCCCGCUGUUAAGGCCGCUGGAGAAUUUGAAUGUUUUCUGGCCUGUGCCCACCAAAGUCUUAAUGAAUUCUUGAUUAUACUUUUUGCUGUCUGAGCAUUAAAAUAAACAAAUAUACUUUAAAACUUUCAACAACGGAUCUCUUGGUUCUGGCAUCGAUGAAGAACGCAGC
RNAcentral lists this unclassified non-coding RNA (328 nucleotides) under uncultured fungus. RNAcentral's name for it is "partial contains small subunit ribosomal RNA, internal transcribed spacer 1, and 5.8S ribosomal RNA". The stretch from base 1 to 73 matches the Rfam family "Eukaryotic small subunit ribosomal RNA", at positions 1759 to 1831 of the family's 1831-position model. The record is from RNAcentral. Lineage: Eukaryota; Fungi.